CCACAGUAACAACCAGCCGCCCCCUCCGCUCAGAGCCCGUACCCCGCUCAAGGCGCGCCGUCCCCGGGCAAACUUCACCCGGAGGCGCCCCCUGACCGAGACGCACCGCUGCUGCUGCGAAAACUGCGCAACAUCCACAGCCUGGAGCAGGAGAAACGGAGGAGUUUAGAGACCAAAGGCAGCCCAGAGAGAUUCACCGACGGAGGCCCCAGACCAGAGAGCGGCGCUGCCCAGAGGCCCGUCGUAGUGGACCGCGUGUGGCACUGUGAUGACGAGUUCAUCUCGCCCAAAGCGGCGUCUCCCGCCUCCAUGGAGCAGGGCGAGGGCAGCGGAGGCUUCGUGGCCCUCAACCUGAGCUCGGGGCGGGGCGACGUGGACUCCAGGGAGUGGGUGAUGGUGGACAGGCCCAGCCGAGGGCUUCUCCCGGGGGUAAACUCACCUCCAGCCCCUCAGAGGAAGACGAGGAGGAGCCCGAGGAGCUGCAGCCUGAAGAGAGGUCGCCGGGAUGGAGCAAGGAGGCCAGGCACAGCCCUAGUCCUGGGAAAGCCGUCCCGGAGAGCUCGGCCUCCUCCAGGGGCAGUGCCAAGGACAAACUGGAGCUGAACGUUGGAGCUGCAGCGCUGCCCGCAGUGACCCCCACCAGCCCAGGGGAGGCGCUGGCCGAGGGCAUACUCACUCAGCAGCCAGUCUCUCCCCCCUCUCUCCCGGAGGAGCUGGCCUCUCCUCAGCUCCUCACUUCUCUGUCGGACCCCCUGCUCUGUGCCCCUCCCCCAGGGCUCACCCGCAGCCUCUCCGCCCCCGGCACCGGCCCGAGCCGCUCGCCCCGAAAACUGCCUCCCGUCCCCCACGGAGCGGCCAAGUUCCCCUCCGUGAUUCGCAUCACGCGGGCGCAGCUCCAGCAGCUGACAGCAGGGUCGGACAGCGCCCCCCAGUGCCUCGUUUUGGAGAAACACGGCGACGCCGCUGAAUCUCCCGACCUCUCCUCGCCGCGGGACAAAAACGAGCCCACACCCGAGACCGCGGGGGGCAAGCUUCAGCGAAGAGCCCGGUCCACAGCCGCGUGUCCUCCCCGCGCUCGCCGCUCUCCCCCCUCGAUCCCCGCGGAGUCCCGUCUUCUCCAACGGACACCUCUCCCCCACGCUGGUUAAAGAUAUAAACGCUAACGGGGUGAUUCCGACGCCGAGAGACGCUCAGAAUGACGGCAAAGAGCUGAGAAAGGAUGGUUCGGCGACACCGGAGAAGGCUAAAAGUCCGCUUUCGUAUUCGCCCGUCGCUGUACGGAAAGACCCCAAUCGGAGGCACAGCCGUAUUCCCAUUUUAGAGCCUUCGAGUUUCUUCGACGCGGCUCCUCCGGGUUCAGCGAAGGAAAAACUGUUCCAAAAGAAAGCCACGCAUUUCAGCAACUGCAACAACAACAACGUCCCGUCCCCCACCGCCUCGCCCUCUCUCUCCGACCGCCGCGCUCAUCAGAUCGUGGCGUCGCUGGCGCCGCGGGACCCGCUCUCCUCCGGC
This 1512-nucleotide long non-coding RNA is filed under the name Neogobius melanostomus (round goby). RNAcentral describes it as "lncRNA (ENSNMLG00000014448.1)". The record is from RNAcentral. Lineage: Eukaryota; Metazoa; Chordata; Actinopteri; Gobiiformes; Gobiidae.